Molecule: long non-coding RNA, 28471 nt
Filed under: Marmota monax (woodchuck)
Lineage: Eukaryota; Metazoa; Chordata; Mammalia; Rodentia; Sciuridae
Source: RNAcentral
AGCAGAUCCAGUCAGGAAGUGUUCUUGAUUCUUCUGGAACAAGAUCUACUUUUCUGUCAUGAUAUUGGAAACAAAGCGUGUCCAGUUCUGCUGGAGCUGUCUGCCCCAGACAGUGUUGAUGAGGAGAGCAGAAGCUGUGAGCUGAACCUGACAAGUAGUGACUGCAAGAACCCGUUGGGCCUGUCCUGUAUGCUGGCGUGUGCAGGACUCGAAGGGACAUAUGUGUUCAUUCUGGCCAGCACCAUUCCUGUAGCCAAGGUGGCCAGUGACUCAGCCUCAGUCACAGGAAGCUCAUGGGUCAACCCUGAGCCUGCUGCAGAGGCAGUGGUCCUUUGAGCACUCCUCAUUUAAGAAGGCAGGGCUCUGGAAAUGGAAAUGAUGUGGUGGCCGAGGCAUGGGCCUAGCACCUCUGCUGGGUGAAAUGCUCAAGUGCACAGACAGAGCCUUUGACCUGCCUGGAUCCUGGGGCUUGUUUCUGCAAGGCAGGAACAUCAUGUGGUAUGUGAGAUGAUUUUCAGUGGUACUUGAGAUAGUUAAGGAAAAAUUUGUGUCUAAUUUAUGAUGUAGGGCAAGAACUCAAGUAGACAGGUAAGCACAAAAGCCACUGUGAAGGAUGCAGAUGUGAACAGAUGUUCAUAGCAGUGUGGGAAAUGCUGUUGAGUGUUUGUGUUCAUAUCAGUUAAAGACAUAUGAUGAAAGUAAUAAUUUCUCUACUAGUAUCUUCUCUCUUUAAUAGUUAAUGAAAUGGUACCCUUGGGUUUGGAAGAGUUCUGAGCCCAUUGCUAAGUGACUCUACGACUUUCUGCUUGCUGGAGCCUUUAUUUGCAGACCAGUAGUUGAUGAGCCAUUGGAGCUUUUACCAACCUGAAAUCAGAGGCUGCAGCCUGGCCUGUGGCUCCAGGGGAGGUUGUCAUGGACCAUCUUGUUUCUGAAGCUGCCAUUCCUCCAUUGACCAGUGCAAAGGUUGCUGUGUGGCAUGACCCUUUCUGUGUGCAGUACAGAAGUGCAUAGCUUGGGAUUAUUUCAGCAUUUUAGGAAAAAUUUGUACAUAAACGAUUUUAAAAAUCAUGAGCCUUAAUUAUGAGUAAAUAAAAGAGGAUAGUUUUCUUAAACUAUCUUUUAUUAAGAUAAACUAUCUUUUCUUAAACUAUUCUUUUAUUAAGUAAAGAAUGAUAUUAGAGAAAGGAAUUAUUUUCUUUUCCAAAAUACAAAAUCAUUAUACACCAUAGAGCUAAAAUAUUAUAUUGUGUCAUUAGAACAUUUGGCAAUUUUUCUUCGUUUAUGUAAAAGUUUUCUUCAACUAUGUGUUAAAGGCCUGGAUUUUUAAAUUAAUUUAAUUUUUUGCAUCUUCCAUAUGUUUAUAAGAUGAAUCAGCCUGAAGAAUAAUUGAUUGUUAAAAUUCAAAUUCUCCAGGGUUCUUUUAUAAAUUUCAAGUUUCUCUACAAGAAAUUAAAUUUAUUGUGCAAAAUGAACCUGGAUAAUAACAUUUAGUGGGGUAUUUGGCAGUUGAGCAGUGAACUUUGCCAACUAGAUCUUCUUCAUUUGGAAGUUGAUUAGGUGAGUUUCCAAGGUUACGAUCCACAACCAAAUAUCUUAUCCCUAAGGACUGAUAAUACCAUGAAAAAUAAUGCUAAAGGCAUUUUUGCAUGAUAUUUAUUUUAUUUUGUUUUGUUUCCAAACGCUCCAUUGUUGUCAGCAAUAUCCUUCUUCUUCUUUUUUCUUCUUUGAAACAUUUGGAAAAUAUAACAGGCCUCUCAGAAGCUCUCUCCACAAAUCACUUGCAGAACAAAUUAGUUCACAUAAAUUUUCUUUCUCAUUCAAAGUGAGUUGCUGGUAUCAUGGCUUAAAUCUUGAGCUGUGGCUGCAAGAACUGAGAUGGCCUUGGACCCCCUACCCACUACUAGGCCAGGCACAUGCCUUUGUCCACACAGUGUUUCUAGAGGGUUUCUGAGCUUCUCCCCAGAGCUCCUAUAGGAACAGACUGUGGAGUGUCCUAUAUGGCCUUCAUGAGUCUUGGUCUAGUUCCUCCCCAGAACCUCAGAGAGAACAUGCCCCUUGGGCCCCCAGGAGCUGUGGGGUGCAGACAGAGCUCACCUCUUGUCAGCUGGGAAAUGGCACUGUGGGUAGAGUGUGGGUUUCAUUAUUCAAGGAAGUCACGUGUGUGCUUUGCAGGUUCUGAUUCAGCUGGUCUGUGAGUGACCUUCAGCACUGUGGCACCAGCAUGUUUCUGUUUAGAAGUGGUUUGGGGAGCUGAUGGUUUGCAGGGUGAUCGAGAAGAAAAGAAUUAAGUUGGGCUGGGCCAGUGCCCUCUGUGUCUAGGGCUGUCUUUGCAACCACGUGAACACUGCCACAGUGCAGGUGAAAAUACAUACCUACUGAGAACAGUGCUGUUCGGAGGAAUGGCUUCUCACUCCUAAGGAAACUGCUGGGAUGAGGAUAGAUUCCUGGGUUCCUAUCUGCUUCUUGCUCAUGUAGUCUUUCUCAACCCCCCAAGCAGCAUUAGUGACUUUAGAGUUUGUACAUAUCUGUCUUCUGUCACUCGACAGUUGAGUUGUGAGCUCCGUUUGUUUCUCCCUUGAGACAAGGAACUCCUCAAACAUGGGCCCGGUAUCUCUGCACCAUCAACACGCAGCACAGUGCAAGGCCCAGUGUCGGUCCUGGAUAAAUGUUAGUUGUUGGAUGAAUGGAUUGGUUCAAGGCGGCAAGAGCUGUAUCUUGUAAUUAUAUCUAGACAGGAUAAACAGGCCACCAGAGACCAAUUAUAAUUCCUCUUGCUUGCAGGGAGGCCAUUAGCAUUCUGAAAUUAUAACUAAUUGUCAGAAGCCUGUUCUCUCUCGCAAUGCAUUUCACAUUAAGGCUUCCUCAUUUUUUGUCGUCAUUCCUGUUUUUAAGCUCAUUUUUAUCUGUGCAUUUAUUUAAAGAGUAUGCUGUGGUUAUACGCCAUAAAGAGUAGUUGGUUCCAACAAACUAAACGCAGAUCAUCAUUUUAUAUACGUGGUUCCCGAGGCCACUGGAAAAAUCAUUUCUUGUCACUCAGUGUGCUGACUUUUAAUGAUUCUUGCUUUGUUUUAUACUGUGUGAUAAUAAGGUCAUGUGGGUGUGGCAGAGGGGAGUGGAAGGAGGUACUGGGAACUCUUUAGUUGCCUGUUGCCCUGGAAACAGAAGCCUAAUGUCUCUGUUUAUUGUGGCUGUAACUGUACAACUUUGCUGAGUGAGAUCAGAAAUAUGUGCCUCCUAAGUUAGAAGACACAAGCCUUUUCCUUUUUUGUGCUAUGGAGCUGGUUUCUGCUUCUACCUGCUCUGAUUACUCUUUUUUUUUUCUCUUGCCUGCUUGUCUGCAAAUUCCAAAUAGAGUGAUGGGUGGGUUACCUACUCAGGACCUUUUCCUACUAUAAAGCAGCAGUGCUGAGUAUACAUUGAGAGUGGCAGACUUCAGAGACAGAAGGUCCUCCCUUCCUUCCUCCCUUCCCUUUCCCUCUUCACUCCCUUUUAUUUUAAUUUUUUGGGGGGUUACAGGGAUUGAACUCAGGGACACUUGACCACUCAGCCACAUCCCCAGCCCUAUUUUGUAUUUUAUUUAGAGAACAAGGUCUCACUGAGUGCUUAGUGCCUCGCUAAACUUCUGAGGCUGGCUUUGAACUCGCGAUCCUCCUGCCUCCACCUCCCAAGCCACUGGGAUUACAGGCGUGCGCCACUGUGCCCAGCCACUCCCUUUUAUUUUGGGGGCAAGAUUGGGAGAGUGUUUUUUAAAAAACUUUUUUAGGGCAACUUUUCAUUUGUUUUAUUUUAACAUUUUUCAGAAAAGUUGCAAGAAUAAUAACCCAAACUCCUGUACCUUUUAUCCAACUUCCCUAGUAGUUCGUGUUCUACUCCAUUUGUUAUCAUUUUCUCUCUUUAAGCACAUAUACAUGGGCGUGCACAUGCACACACAUUUUUUUUCCUGAGUAUUCGAGAGUAAGUUAGAGACAUUGUGCCCCUUUACAUCUAAAUACUUCAGUGUAUAUGUCCUAAAAGGAAAUUAUUUUUGUACAACUACAGCACAGUGAUCAAAUUUGGGGAAUUUUAGCAUUGAUAUUGUGCUAAUCAAUGUCUGUCAUUUGCAGUUCACAUCCCGGUGCCAUUUGUGGAGGAUCUCUCAUUGUGUCAAGUUGUCUCCACUGAUCUGGUCUGGUUUCUACCAAUUUGGAACAGUUACUGAGUCUUUGAAUUUUGUGACAUUGAUAUGUACAGGCUGGUUCUUUUGUAGAACGUCUCCGGAUUUGACUGAUGUGUCUUAAUGAAUGGAUUCAGUCUGUCCAUCUGACUGAGUGUCAUAGAAAUGAUAUGUUCUCAGUGUGUCAUGGCAGGAGGCACAAGACCUGCUAAUACUUGGGAUGUUAAUUUUGUUGACUUCAUAGAUAGAGACAGUAUUUGCCCAAUUUUACAGGAGAGUUUCCUCAAGGCUGUGUGAGUAUACUCUUCCUCAUUAAACUUUCACUCAUGAAUGUUAAUACCUGUGGAUAAUUCUAGUUGUUCCCUUUCCAUUAUUUGCUAAUAGAUUGUUGAAGAAUUAACAUCUAUACUUAACAGAGCCGUUGUAGGUAAUUUUCUUGUUAUGUCUUUGUCAGGUUUUGGAAUCAGAGUUUUCUGGCCUCAAAAAUGAGUUGGGAAGUAGUCCCUCCUCUUCAGUUUUCUGAUUAAAAAGUUGUUUAAGAUUGGAGUUAUUGUCCCUCCUAAAUAUUUGUUCAAAUUCAUCUGCCUGGUUCUAGAAUUUUUUUUUUUAAUGAAAUGGUUUUUGAUAACAGAUUCAAAUCAGAUAUAGGGCUUCAUUUUUGUUAUUUCAGUCAUGUCAAUGGGUAAGUUGGAUAUUUUAGAGAAUUUAUUAAUUUCAUCUAAGUUUUCAUAAUAUUUCCUUAUAUUUUCUAAUGAGUGUAAGAUCAAUAGUGUUAUCUUCUUGCAUUUAUGGUAUUGGUACUUUGUAUUGUCUCUUUUUGUUCUUAAUCAGUCUUGCUAUGGGCUUGUCAAUUUUAUUAAUGUUGGGCCUUAUUGGUUUUCAUUGUUACUUUUUUUUCUUUGUGAAAAAUAUCUGCUAUUUAUUUUUCCUUCUUCUACUUUACUUAGUUUGCGUGUAUUUUUUAGCUUCAUGAAGAGGAAGCAUUUUUACUCCUAACUUCUUUCCCAUUAUAAAUAUAAAAACAUUAAACAUGUUUGUAAUGUAUUGUUCUUUUUAUCAUUAAGGAAUGUUUCUUACAGUAAUCUAUAUAUUGCUUUCAUUUGUGAUAUUAAUAUAACUACUCCACUGUUCUUAUACUUACUGUUUAUUAUAACAUUUAUUUUUAUUCUCAACCUAUAUGUAUUUAUAUUUACAGUGUUUCUGCUUUUGGCACAUAGUUGGAUCUUUUAUAUCUAGUCUGACAGUUUUUAGUUUUUAAUACUAUGGAUUGAACACAGGGAUAUUUGACCACUGAGCCAUCUCCCCAGCCCCUUUUGAGAUGGGGUCUUACUAAGUUCCUUAAGGCCUCACUAAGUUGCUGAGGCUGGCUUUGAACUUAUGAUCCUCCUGCCUCACCCUCCUGAGCAGCUGGGAUUCCAGGUGUGAGCCAACAUGCUGGGCUUCUGCCUUUUAAAAGGAGUAUUUAGUCCAUUUAUUUUUAAUGUGAUUAUUUCUAUAUUUGGAUUUAUUUCUGCCAUUUUGCUCUUUGAUUUCCACUUUUUCAUCAGUUUUUGUUCCCUUGUUAAUUUUGUUCUUCUUUCCAUUAAGUUGAUUGAAUACUUUUUAGCAUUGCAUUUUAAUUUCCCUGAUAAGGAUUUUCAAAAAAUACAGCAAUAGCGCAGUUGUAUUUACAUUCACUUGGUUUCAUGCUUUGUCCUAUUAUUUUCAUCUGUAUUACAUUGUGAAUCUGAAAAUAGUUUCAUAAUUUUUAAAGUUAUAUCUUUGAAAGAAGUUAAUAAAAGAGAAAAAUAUAUGGCUUUUAUACUCUCAUUUUUACCAUUUUUGGUGAUUGUCAUUCCUUUUUUUUUUUUUCCUAGAUCUGAAUUAUCAUCUGGUAUCAUUUGCUUUCAGCCUGGAGAACUUCCUUUAGUACUUUCGUGCAAUGAAAUCUCUCAGUGACAGUGUAUUUAUUUUGCCAUCAUUUUUUGGGUGAUAGUUUUGCUGGAUAUGGAAUUAUGGGUCGGCAGGUUUGCUUUCUUCCUUUAGCAUGUUAAGAGUCAUUCUGCUGUUUUUUGGCCUUCAUUUUUUUCUCAUGGAAGUCAGCUGCUAUUCAUGUUAUGCUCUCAUAUAUAAAUUAUUCUUCUUUUCUUUGGCUGGAUUUGAGAUUUUUCACUCUUACCUUUGGAUUUUAGCAGAGUGUUUAUUCUGCUCAUGUUCAUUGAAUUUCUUGGAUUUGUGUAUUUAUACCCUGCACACAAUUUAGGAGGUUUUUGACUAUUGUUCCUUUAAAUACUUUUUUCUUUGCCAUUCUCUUUUUCUCCUUUCAGUCUAGGAUUUAGAUUAUAUGAGGUUUUGACCCUUGAUAUUGUUCCACAGGUCUUUGAGGCUCUGUUUUUCUUUAAUCAUUUUCCUCUCUGAUGUUCAGAUUUGAUAAUUUUUAUUUAUCUCAAGUUCAAUAACUCUUUUUUGUCAUCUUCAAUUUGUUGUUAGGCCUUUUGGUGGUUCUUGUUCUUGUUCCUCCUCCUCCUCCUCCUCGUCAUCGUCCUCCUCCUCCUCCUNNNNNCUUCUUCCCCUUCCCCCUUCCCCUUCUUCCCCUUCUUCUUCCUCUUCUUCUUCCCCUUCUUUUUUCCAGUUAUCUUACUUUUCAGCUUUAAAUUUCCAUUUUGAUCUUUUCCAGAAUCUUUACAGUCUCAAUAGUGCUGUGAUAUUGGGAGUUCCUAUGUGUGAUAUAGGGAGUUCCUAUCUGUUCUUCUUUACACUUGUUUUUCUUUUAAUCCUUGAAUAUAUUUAUAACACCUUCUUUAAAGCCUUUUUCUGGUAAUUGCAACAUCUGUGUCAUCUUAAGUGUUGAUUUCCAUUGGCUACUUGUAUUAAGGGUCACCUUCUCAUGUUAACCCCUGAAUAGCAGUUUUUGGUUGAAUACUGGACAUUAUAAGUGGUAAUUGCUCUGGAUUGUGUUGUUUCUCUAAUGUUGUUUUGCCUUAGCAGGCAGUUACCUUGACUGGUCAUUAAUUCCAAACUGUCUCCCUUUGAUGAGCAUCAGCUAAUGUCUGCCCAGUUUGUCUGAUUUCUGCCUGCUGGGUCCUCUGUAAUCUGCCCCAUGUGUGUGGUUUAGCAGACAGCCAAAGAUAGAAGCAGAUUUUAUACACAGAUUUGGACCUUGCUUACAAAUUUCUCCCAUUACAGUUUCUUUAAGGGCAGGCUGCCCUCCAGUUUCUGCCUUUUGGUUGUUAUCCAUUCCUUCCAAAUGCCUGUUUUUAAUGUUUGUUAAUAUUCUCUCAUUAUUGUCUGUAGGAAGGUUAGUACAACUAAGCUUCUGUAUCAUUACUGGAUUUUUUUUUAUAGUUUCUAUUUCUUUGAUGGGACUCCUGAUCUUCAUUUAGUGUGACUGUCUCUUCCUUUUAGUCCUUGGGCAUGUAUAUAAUAGUCACUUUAAAUUCAGUUUAAAGUUUGCAGAUUCCAAUAUCUGGAAUGUUUUUUUGUGGGUUUCCUUCUACUGACUGACAUUUUUCUUGGAUAUGAAUCACAUUACCUUCUUUCUCCUUAUGCUUAUGCUUGUUUUGGUUUGUUUGUUUGUGGGGUUGGGAUAUACUUAUGUGUGUAUGCUUUUUAUUGUAUCUUAUUGAUGAAGCUUUGUAAAAACUCUGGAUUUUAUUAUUUUCUUCUGAAGAGUGUUGACUUUGUUUUGGGCAGCAGUUCAUAUUUGUGUUUCCUUACAGUAGUCAGCAGUUCUAAGUACUCACUCUUUAAACCACAAGUUACCAAUGUUUUCUCUGAGCCUUAGCAUCUCCCCUAUGCAUGCAUAGGUCAGAGGUCAUUCUAGGGUUAGGAUCUAAUCACAGAUAGUGGGGCUCACAGAAAAGUCUCUAGCUCUAGCCUUCCUUUCUUCCCAGGAAUUCUACCCACUUUCUAGCUGCCAUGGCAGGCUCAACCUCUGCUCUCUGGCUUCAAAACAGUAAAAUUGUUGCUUUUGCUUGAGACCUGACUACCUUACAUGGCCAUGCAGCCUAAGAAGUGCCCUCACACAAAAAAUAGCACUUUACCCAGUGCAUUUUUCUCAUGGCAAGGGUCCCUCUCUUAGUUUCCUCUAGUGUUUCAUCAUUCCCCAGAGCCCAUGUAGCAUUUUAUAUGCCGUGACCUGCUAUGCCUGUAUGUCCCAGAUUACCACCCUUUGUUCUCAGUGACAUUACUUAGCCGUUGUCAGUGUUAGUUUUUUCAUCUGGAGAAGUGGGAUAAUAUCCAUGCUAUGGCGUUUUGAGGAAGGUAGAAUAAGCCUGUGUACUUCCACCGUGUGCUUACGUGUUGGGCACAUGGUGUGUACCUGGAAGAUGAUGGCUUGAGCUUUAGACAGACACUUAUGUGAGUGACAGUGGAGAAAUAUCUGUCUAUUGAUCAUAUAAUUUGAUAAAAUUCAAAAGAAGAUGCUUUGUGUUUAUCAUUCUUGGCUAUUUUGGCAAUAUUUUAAAUAUUUGCUUUUGGAAACUAUCUUGUCAUUGGUACAUGUAAUUUAGAUAUUUCGGUGUUUCAAGUGAUUCUGAUUUUCUUUUUAUUUAUUGAUAAUCUGAAAAAUGACAUCAAUGCUGAGCAAAGACAUACUUGAACACCUGCUCCUCCCUUGAUUCUGUGAACUGUGUGGUGAUGGGAAACACUUUCAAGUUCAGAAGGUAGGAACCUAAGAGUUUCAAAACUCUUUAAAAAUCAAAAAAUUCAGAAUUGAUUUCUCUAAAGUUUCUGUCUACUCCUUCAGUAGAUGCACAUCUGGAGAAAAGAUGUAGCCAGUGUGAACUGUGUAGGGAAAUAUGUGGCAGUGUUCCACUUCUUGCUGCAGAUAGGAAGUACACAGAGCCCUGGCGUGCGAGUGGACGGGACCUGCCUGCUGGGGGUGUAGGCCUCGACACCCACUGCUUCCGUUGCCCAGGUUUGUGCCUGACCUGCAGGGUCUUAGGUUUCCUGGGGUAGUUCCUGCCAGAACCCUCUUCUCUUUGCUGUACCUUCCAAAUCCAAUUUCAGCUUCCCACUUGGUUUCUUGUCACCUGGUGUCAGGUUCCUCCUGGAAGCUGUCAUUGCCCCUCUCUCAAUAGCCUCUGCUUCCACCUUGCUGCCUGCUGGCCCUGCUCCUCUAGCCCGUCCUCGUGAUGCGUGGGCAAGACAAUGGGUCUCAUUUACCAUGCAGAGAAUGUGGAGGGGCUCUUUUUGCCCUAUUGCUAACCAAAUACAUUAUGUAUCAAGAUCAAUUAGGAGCCAGACAAUCCUAGAAGUUGGCAUCUUCUCGUAGCUCUUGUGUUCUCAGUGCAGCAGAGGCCCUAGCCUGAUGCUGUGUGGGCGGCAGGCGUGGUAAGUGCUUGUUAGCGCCCUGACUGGAGCCAUGAUUGCUCUCAGGGUUCCUGCUUGUUAGUUUUAAAUUUGUUAAGACAAAAAGAUAGGAAUAAUGUGGAUGCCUUUUGCCUCUCUAAGGUGUGUGCUACAAAUUUUGGUGUUAUUUGCAUGCUGUUGGACAAGAAGCCACAAGAAAUUUUCAGUACAUAUAGUUUUGCCAAUUAUAAUUGCUGAUUCAUUUCUUAGUGCACUUUCCAGAUCAUUUGUAAAGUUUUAUAUUUAUGAGUCUGUUAUUCUGGAAUGGCAAUUCAGUUCUGCCUUCAUCAACUUCAGAUUUCUCAACUUCUGAAAUUCUUACUCCUGAGCACUAGGCAGCUGGUCUGGAAGUCAUGGAGGCAGCCCGCCUCUCCUGCAGAUGUGGCAGCUGCUUCUUCUCAGGCCGCACUCCCUGUUUCUUCUCCCCAUGGAAGUCACUCUCUGUCCCCUCUUCGCUGCUCUUCUGCUCACUCUCACCUUGCUUCUGGGCCUUCAAACCAUGGAUACUUUUUUUUUUUGGUGUAAGCUGAAAGCCCAGAACCUUACUGGCCUCAGUCCCCUUCACAGACGUACUUUCUGCCUCACUUGCAGUCACCUGCUCUGUUCUAUUUGGCCUUGGUGGGCUUCACCUCUGGACGUUCAUUUGAAUCCUGGAGAAGCUGGAGGAAGGAGGAGAGCCCACACAUCUAUACUUUUUAUAAAUCCCCAUGUGAUCCUGGUAUAUAACAGCACAGAGAGCCACUUCACCAGCCAGCCGGGUGACUCUCAGCUCCCUGAGGCUUUAUGCUCUUCUGCCCUCUGGGCCUCUGCUCUCCCACAAGGGUCUUCCCUGCCUGAUUGGAUCUUCUGCACAGUUAAAACGCAGCUUGGGUAUGCUCUGUGGUGUUUUUCCUUGUCCAGACUCACCUGGCCACUGUGCCAGAGCCCACUCACUUCUCCCUGGGCAGCCCUCUGUCGACCUUUGUUCAGAGCACUUCAUGAAGGUUUUGUGGAGAGGGACCUUGAGGACGGGGACCACAUCCUGUUAAUCUUUGUCUCCCCUGUGCCCACCUGGCAACUGGAGAGCUGCCAGGUGCUCAAAAGGCACUCACUUUCAUUUGGCAGAGUGGACUACCUGGGUAGUUGGAAUUUAACCUCAGAAACUAUAAUUUUUGAAUCGAUUUUUAAAUUUAGGUUUAGAAACUCACUUUGUUUUAUUUGAAGUAUAAGCCAUGUCACCAUGGUUGUAACCCAAGAACAAUUUUUUAAUGGGCUUGCUGCUUUGAAAAUACAGUGAGUGUUAUUUUCCACCUAAUGUAUCUGAAUGAGGAGCAGCAGUGGCCAAAAUGCUGAUCUUUCUGUAGGCAGAUAGUUCCAUGAUCGUAUCAUAUUCCCCUUUGUGGAACAAUUUAAGCUAAUUAUUUUACAUUAUGAUAUUAAAAUCAAAGCCUUUUUAAAGGAUAAAUUUUAAAAGAAGAUGUAAUCAUGACCUUCACCUAGAUAUAACUGAACAUAUGUCAAAGAUUAUAUUUUUAACUCAUUGAUUAAUGAUGGAAACCAAUAAGAUAGUACAACCAGUUUAAUGGAGAACUCAAAGUAGCACACGUUUGUAGUCUGACCAAGGAAUGUUGACGUAAACUUUGAGGGAUUCAAAACAGAUCAAUAUCCAAAGUGAUACCUGAUUGCAUUCCACGGGACACACUUGGUCUUCUGUGGAUAGGAAUCACUUGCAUCGCCAUUAGUUUCUGCUUAGGGACCGCCAUUAAGCCUCAGUUUUGUACAGUCUUUCUCUGUGUUUAUAACAAAUAUCAGUUAUAUCCCCCCCAACUUUUUUUUUUUUUUUGAGCUUUCCCUUGUAUCUUGUUAAAUUUAACCAAGUCCUACAGUGAAGUCAGGAGGUGAAGGAUGUGUUUCUUUCUUCCACUUCUCUUACUUUCUCCUCUCUCCAGGGGUUCCUUUUAGACCAGGGUUGUUUCCCUCUUGUUACUACUUUGGGAUCUGCCAUCACUGUGCAGUAAGACAGGUUCUGCCCGUCCCCAGGGUACUCAGAGUUGAAUAGUUACGUUUUUUUGUGUGUGCUUUGUUAGAUCCCCAGAUUUUUUGAGCUCUGCUUAGAUAACAUGGUGGGGCCCACGGCAAGCCUGCACUUCCUAUGACCCCACCCAUCCCGCCCUGGGUCCGCAGAGCUCUGCUCUCCCCUCUUCAUCAGGCUUGGCAGUGACCCCUGUGGAUGGUGAGUGCUGACAGUGCUGUGUCUGCCUGUCUCACUGUGUCCAGCCUCAGGACUUGUGCCUAUGUAUUGUGUCCUUGUAGUCCCUGGUUGGUGGCAUAAUCAGAUUUAGACCCAUCUGAAGUCAAAAUUAGGGCACCUGAAGUAUCAAAAGUUUGGGGGUGAAUAUUAAGAAAGUGGUGCACACCUUAUUAUCUGCAAUGAGCUCACUGUUGUCGAAGUCAGAAUCGAGAAGGAAAUACUAACCGAGUUGUUCCCUUUUCUGUUACUGUUGUAAGUACACCAUGGUUAAUGCAUUCUGCUUAAAUACUUUAUAUGAUCUGUCACUAUUUGUUGUAUAAUUAAUAUUUUAGAAAAAAUAAAAACUAUAUAGGGCUAAAUAUUUGCUUAUUUUCUGUUAAAAAUUAGUUUAUUGGGGAUUUGUCUAAUGCUCUGGAUAGCGCUGAGUCCGGCAGACACAGUGGAGCAGAUGUCUGGCGGUCAGCUGUCAGCAAGCCUGGCCUCCACCACAGGCUGAGCCUGUUCACUGUACUGCACUCUGGCUUCAGGUGUGGCAGGCUGCCUUCCAGUGCCUGUGCCCCUUCAUUUCCAUCUUUGCAAACCCCUCCAGGGCUGGCCUGCAUGUUCCAGAGAAUGGCACACUGAGCCCCCCUCCACUAAGGCAGGACUGCUCUUGCCUCUGGCUGGCCCAGUCCCUUCAGGUAGCGCCUCCUGGCCAGGGUCAACACCAGGAUCCAGUCGCACCUCAAGCACUCCCCUAAAAUCCCUGCAGUUACCGUCUUGUCUUGAGUUUAGUGACAGUGACCUUCUGGGCAGGAAGGAAUAUUAGAGCUUUAAUUAUGUAAAGAAGCAAAAAGUAAUUGCAAUAAUGAUUUUGAAACAUGACUACUAGGUUAUAAAUAAUGAAGCUACCAUGUCUCCUAAAUUUAGAUAAAAUAUUCAUUGAGAGUAGUGAUUAAAUAACCUAUAAAGAAAAAUUUCUCUUACUUUUUGAUUAAUGAAGUUCUUUGGAUAGUUUACACAGGAAAAAUGCAAAGUCUUCCAAGUAUGCUUUGGUGAUGUAGGUGUUCUGUGCAAAUAAGGGUGGGAUUCUUGCCCACCUCUGAGGCCUGCAAUGCUGUCUCUGGGAGUGUCCAUCUUUUCUGUGGUGUAAGGGUGCCUACCAACCCAACGCCUUGAGGUAAUCCAGUAUCUGUCCACUGUUAGCGUCCUGCAGGCAUGCGCUAGUGGGCACGCUACACCUCAGCUGACACAGGUCAUCUGAAGAUGGGGCCAUCCUCCCCACCAGCCUGCUCCAUCAGAAUUCAUGAAACACUUGCUGAAUGUGAGGCCCAGGUGCCGCAUCUUCCUCAUCAAGAUUUUCAGUGGCCAACAAAUAGCCAGCUCUUGCCAGCUUCCACAUGCUUUCUUUCCCAGUGCCUGCCCCCUAGUGGAAGUACUCAUGAGCAGUAAGUGGGUACAACUUGCCCCUGAGGUGCUUCUGCAGUGUCAGGCACACUCUGCACUGGAAUGCAGAGGAAGGCUCAGCCUGGCUGUCACAUGAUGUUCUUCAUGUCUGCCACACUCCCAGUGGUUCAGAGGGAGUGAAUUGGGCCUCUUACCUACUCAUUACAUUUUAAUCUGACACUGGGAGGCACCCGAAUGGUGGAUGACCAGUUAGAGGAAGAGGAGAAUGACUGGACUUGUGAGGAGGUAGGUCUCAGGUUUUUCCACGUCCCUUCCAGUCUGUCACAUGACACUACAAGUUUGCUUCCUUCAGUUUAACCUACUGAUUCAACAAGGCCUAUGCAGAUAGUGCCAGAUCCACUCAUGGAAGGGACAUCAGUGGAAACUAGUGUCUCCUGCCUAUCAGUAGCCCCUCUACCAGCCCCACAGAAAACCUGGGGGAAGGCCCUGCUGUGACUAGGCGCCGCAUUGCCCAAACCCUGCUCUGGGCCAGUGCCUUCCCAAAGCUCUCUGAUAUUAAUGACCUCCCAUCAGCAGCCAGCCUGCCCAAGGAAUUCAAAGGAUGUGUUCUCUAGUGUUCUUUAUUGGCAAACUCCUGUCCCUGAUAUAAGCCAGGAUGUAAAGCAACUUCUGAGCGGGGCUUGGCCGCAGGAAGGGGGCUGUAGCAGAGUCAGGAAGUCCUCCCUGGUUUGCAGGAGCAUAAGACGAAUGGUCCAGAUGUUCAACGUAAAAGUGGUCUGUUGUCAUUAAAGAGAACACGAGAUGUUUCUGUGUUGUGCAUUGCAUGUGGCCACUUCCUUCCCCCUCAGGCCUGCAUAUUGAUGCAUGUGUGUGCCUGAGUUUAUAUACACUAUGCACAUGUGGAGAAAACCGAUCGGCUCAGUCUCUCCCUGGCCAGGACAGUUGGAGGUGUCUCCACAUGGGACUCUUGCAAGGACUGAGCCUCCUUGUUCUGCAGACAGACAUAUGCAUCAUUUGAGGCAGUUUUAGAAGAAAAGGACAGUGCAUGGACACUGAUGUCUUUCCCCUGUUUGAUGCCCUUUCUCGUUACAGGCAGCUAAGGGUGAUGCUUCUUUUGGAGCUUGUUAACUCAGCCCUUGGCUGCACUCUGAGGUGUCUGUCUCUGUGUGGCUAGGAAGACUACAGCUUCAUCUUGGGGUAUUUUUAUUUUCUGACUAGAGCUCCUUUUGGCAUCUGAUCUGAGAGUCAGACCCUGCCGUCUAUAUCCAUUAUCAUGACUCUGCUUUCUCUAUGGUGCUGCUAUAUUUACACUCUUCCUUGAGUUGGAGAAUUGGAAAAAAACACCACUUACUGCUGUUUCUGGGUGAAGAUUGGUGAAGCUUUCAGGAAGGGAAAUGUGAAGGUCCAGUUAGCCCUGUGAUUAGUCUUUGUCCUUAAGUUUAUGGAGAGUAUUAAAUCAAGUUUUCUAAAGGAAAGAGCACAUGUAACACGUCACUUCUAACAGGUGCAGGCAGAGGUCUGUUUGGAAAACACAUCAUGGGACUCACCCUGAUCCCCAGCACUGGAACCUGAGCUGGAGGCUGGGCACCUAUGAUGGGCACCUGAAGCUCUUGGAAUCUGCUGAGGGGCUUAUGCAGGCAGCCCCAUGUGGAACAUGGCGAGGACUGGCUGAGGAGGAGACUUAGCCAGCUUAAAGCGUGUAGUUCCUGGGGACAGAGGAAAUGUCUGCGAGAGUUGCUUACAGAGUACAUCAGUACUUUGACCUGAGCUCUGAGGGAUAGCUGGGAAUCCACCAGCCAGGGAGGUCAAGGAGUGAGUUCCAGAGGGUUCUUUCAGUUCUCUGAAACCAUUGUUUGUGGCAUCUUGUGUGCACGGCAUGUGUAACUUCUUUGUAAGAAAGGACUUAUAGCUUUCCUUGGUUCUCCAAGGCAUCUGUAACCCCAAAGAUACAGGAAUAAAUGACAUGUUUUAUUUGUAAACUGACCAUAACAGGAAUGUCCCUUAGGCCAUUGGGAAGGGCCUGGUGUGCUGCACUAAGAAGAGGGGACUUGCCCUGGGCACAGAGGAGAGCCAGCUGCAAGCUCUAAGUAUUUUAAUGAAUCUUGGGGUCCAUCAAAUUUAACUCAUAGAAAACAGGAUGCAGGAAGUUGUGUGUGUGUGUGUGUGUGUGUGUGUGUUGGCAGGCUGGACACUGGAAGCAUGCAGUUUUAUUUUUAUAGAAAAAUAUGUCAAAUAUAUCAUCUUUACUGUUAGGAGGUCUCUCCUAGUCAUGCUAUGGACAACGGGGGAAGCCCGGGCUUGGUGAGCAGGUUGUAACUCAUCUGCUCACACACCAACUCACUGAGUGCGGGUGUGCAGGGCGUGCCAGGGGCAGGCCUCACAGAGGAUGGGAGCAUACCCUGCGUGGCAUAGGCCUCCCAGGCUUGCUGCGCAGUAGCAUUGGGUUCUUUCUGUGAUAGCUGAUGGAGUCCAACUCUGGUUUUGCCUGGCCGAGGCUUUUGAGUUCAAAUUGGACGCUGUGUGUGGGGCUGGCCCUUAGUUGAAGAGGUUACUGUAAGUGGCCCAUUACAUCUUACUGAGAACUCACUUUGAGACUCCAGAACCUGGUCACUCUGAUGUGUUCAGCUUGGGAACGGUGUGUAUGUGCGGUGCCCACUUCUCUGGAGUGAGCCCCACAGGUCACAUAAGCUAUUCGGCUUCUUGACACUUCUCUUCUUGCAGCUCGAGUUCAGGUGUCGUCAGCUGCACUGAGAGCCACGCAGUAUGACUCUGCAGAUGACCCCAGCAUAGGCCAACAGAAGGUCGAAGAGAAGGUCCACUGCAGAUCCCAGCUCUGCCUCUGACAGUCACAUCCCCCUGCCAGCUUCAUCAUCUCGGAAUGAGCUCUCUGUGGCCAGGAUAUUACAAAGCACAGUAAGUAUUUGCCCUAUUCCUCAGCCACUGAGGAUGUGACAGAAAUCACAAAGUUGCGUUUUCUUUUAUUAAUAUAUCCCUGCAGAGAAGAUAAAUGGCAAGUUUCAUUUCAUUCUUAAGGUCAUGUUUGGGAUAACUAGACAUCCAAUCAAUCAGGUGAUUGAUAACACUGAUUCUCUUCCACAGAAACAGGGCGGGGACCAGAAAGUACCUUCCCUCUCCUCCAAAGAUGACAAGAACUGAUUCUUGGGAGAAGGGGGCAUUAAUGAUAUAAAUGUCUGUGUCACUGCUGACAGUCAUUUACAUCUUUUAAUAAUAGUGGAGGGUGGACUCAUGGAAUUCCUAGAAUUUAAAGUUGAUGGAGGCUUUAGGGAAAGAUCAUCUCACCCAGCCCCUCACUGCACAGGGCUCCUUAGUCCAGGGUGUCCUGGCAGUGGUGCUGGCAUCCUGCUGCUUGGAACAUAGAGCUUGAGUCCUCCUGGAGUCCAGGGCCUGAAGCCAGGUCAGAGGGCCUGGGAUGUCUUUUUUCCUGAGUCUCUAGAAGCUUUCUAACCCUCUUCCACUGGGGUUCCUGAGCCGCCCUAAUUCCUUCUAAACUUCACUGCGACCACUUUAAAAUAUGCUCUCCCGUGCCUGGGGGUUGGAGUGGAGCCUGAAAACCAGGGAGGGGUCUGUGAUCAGGGAAGGAGCAGGGAUGUUAGCCUUCUCUUCACCGUGGGCCGUGGUGGGCAGGCUCUUCAGACGUAUGGUUUUCAGCACCUGAGUGCAAAUUGUUUCUCUGUUCACACAGUUUUUAAUUUUGGCUUAGUGAUUAAACUGACUUACCACCUCUCAUACUCCAUAGACCUGCUCCAGUAAAGCAAAGCAAAACAAAAUUCAUAAAACCUGAUUAUAAAAUGUUUAAGAGUUGGUCAUAGUUAUCUUUAGUAAGAAAUGAGAUGGUAUACUGGGUUGCUGUUUUUUCUUAAAAAAUGGGCCAGAAAACUCAUGCUGUUACCUUGUGACCUGACUGUAGUGAUCAUGGAGAUAAAGUAGAAAGGUUUGACCAUGCUGACCUUGAUGUGACAGUAUUUGGGCUUCUCCAUUAGAGACAGACAUGGAAAGGGAAAGAAGCAAUUGCUUCAGGUUGGCUCUUGGGUGGAUGGAAAAGCCCCUGUGCUCCUGUGCCUUCAUUUUGUAGUGAGGAGCCCGAGCUGUGGACUUCAGCUCAACUUCAAGGUUCUUCUGGGCCCAGCCAGAGCUGCCAGUUGCAAAAGAAGGAAGAGGAAACAGACUCUUGAGAGGCUUGGACAGUGAGGAGAGAGCUCCCUCACGCCAGAUGCUGAGACACAGCAGUGCCGUGGACAGGAAGCUCCAGGGCUGGCCACUCGGUAUCUUUGUCCACUCUGCCAGGUGCUCGUGACAGUUCUGCCUGUCUCCCAUUUGUCUCUUCAGAAGAGCAAGGUAUCCUAUGCCAGAAACCCACCUCACUGCCCUCUCCCCAAGGGCCCCUCUCUGGCCACAGCUGCACCAUAUAUUUGUGGGUACAGCAUGGGGGAGGGUGUAGAAGAUGCCCAUCUCCUCAAGCAUCAGGAUUCUGCAAGGAAGGGGGUGCUCAGGAGCCAUUAGCCUGUUGCUGUGCUGGUGCAGGGCACUGAACUCAGGCACUGUUAGGGGCUGGCCUUGGUGGUUGGCUUGCACCCAACUUGGCUCCUGGUAACUGCUACACUCAACAGGACCCCGAGGACUUUGGAUAAUAAUAAUUCCAGCCACACACAUUGUGAGUAUAUGUGAAUUUAUUAACUUAGAGGAAAAAGCCUUAGGUUGUCAUACCAGAUGACCUGUUUUUAUCUCGUAUUCUGUUAAAAUAAACAGUGUACUUCAGUGAAAACCUUGGCAUUGAAGGUUCUGGUGGCAUGCCUCAGAAUGAACGAAGCAUCUAUCCCUGUAUUAAUCGACUUUCCUGGAUCAUAUGUUGAGCUGAUUUGUCAGAAUCCAUUAAGCUGGUAGACAGUAUGACAUUUCAAGUGCAAGCUAGAAAUCCACGUCAUGGUUGAAGGAGAAGGUCAGAUCCAUCUCAGUUAAUGUUAAUCAAUGAUCAGAGACCAAUAUGUCACUGGUGAAUGUUCUUGCUCAUUUUAAUUGUUAACCUAAUGUAAAGGUUCAUUAGCAAACACGCACAGUGUUUGUCCACGUGGAAACUAAAAGCAGUUUACGGGGCGCAUUCUCUGUCAUCGCCACACCUCUUCACUCAGUUCACUGCCCCCUGCCCUCUGAGAGGUCCACUGGUGCUGCAGUAUCUAUUCCCCAGAAAACUGAGGUGCUUGCCACUCUGUGGCUUGCAAACCUCAUCCUUCCUCUGGGGCAGUCUACCCUUAACAUGUGAAUGUUAUUGGAGGGUGCUGGAAGCCACACGGGGGAGGUUUUCAGGGCUCAGAGACUAGUACAAGCAGGCUCACAUGGUUGGCACUCACCAACUUUAACAGUAGCUUUUGUUUUGUGUAAGGACCACAAGCAGUCUUGGAAUUAAAAUAUGUGCAAUCAGUUUUCUCUAGCUCUUAAAAUGACUGGCCUGUACGACAUGAUAUCUAACUGUACAAAAGCAGUUUGUAAGCUCUGGAGAGACAUCAUUGACUUCAGAGAAUGUUCUUGGCUUAGGUUGGCUUCUUUCAUUUCUUUGAAGGGGAAGUGGUCUGGUGCAAAUUGAUAAAUACUCCCAAACAACUCUGUAGGAUCUUGGCAACCCCAGAAAUGGAACCAGUGACCCUUUGGAGACUGAGCAGAGGCAUGAACCCAUCCCCUUGAGGAGAACAAAUCUAAAUUAUAGGCUUGUUCCUAAAAAAAAAAAAGAAAGAAAGAAAAGAAAAAGAAAGAACGAGCAACUCAAAACUUUAUUUUCUGAAAGUUAAGUUUAAGAACAGACAUUGAAACCAAAUAAUUUUCUUCUGUCAAUAUUAAGUAUGUAUCUUGGUUCAUAACCUGUGUUGCUAACAUUUUCUCUCUAACUUAAAAAGAGAAAUUUUAAAGUAGUGUUUAAAAUAUUCUGAACAAUCUAUAAUAUUAUUUUAAUAAAGUUAAUGUAAGAAAUAUUUUGACAUCUUACUAUUUGGUAUCUGUUUAAUACAAAUAUUUUUUUUUUUUUUUUUUUGGUCAAAAGUCGACAGCUUCCUUGGUUGAACUAUGUGUGUUCAGUUUCUCUCUCUCAUGGAUUAGCUUCUGGUGCCAAAUAAGUUCUCACACGUGUUCUAGAUUAUGGUGGAGCUUUGCCCUCACAGCAAUGAAUGUAUGCAGGGGGCAUCUUAGGGGCACCACCCAUCUGUUGGAAGACAGUAAUGACCUAGGUGUUGGUCGUGGGCCCUCGAUUGCUGGGUGAUUGUGGGAGAGAGUAGACAGCCCCCAACCUCAAGGUGGUUAACCAUGCCAAGCAGACAGCUACCUAGACUGUUCUUUGUGAUUCCAGAUAAGUUGUGGGCACCACUUGAACUUCCUCCAAAGCCAAACCCAUUCCCUGGAGAAAACAGGGCGCUACCCCAAAGCCCUUUGACUUUGGGAAGGCCUCUUGUUCCUCCCCAAAUUUCUGCUUUGUUGUUUUCACCUUUAAAUUCCAAAUUGCUUGUUUUCCUUAGUUUGCUGUUCCCUUUGACCCUCUUUCCUAAAGUGUAAUGUUUUCCUUUUUUCUCUCAUUUCCCAGGCUAUAAUCCCUCAGCUUCUGCUAAAUCAGUUUGUGUCGAUGACUGACCAAGUGCAGGCCCAGACGUAGCCAAACACUGUGCAGACAGCUUCCCAGGGGUGGCAGUGACCUGGGUAGGCAGAAUUGGCACUGCCUGAAGGACACGUACAAAACACUGUCUUCAUGCAGGUAAAGGAAGCCUUUUCAGAGGCAGGUGCAGAAAGAGGAGGGUUAUUUAAUUAGGAAGCAAAGGGAAACUGCGGCCAGGCUCGCUGACCUGGAUUUCCUAUGGAUGCCAAUCGGCGUGUUUACUGGUCUCUGAUGAAAUAGAGCUUUAAGUGGCUGACACCUGGCAGCAUUCAUUUUGCUCCAGAAAUGCCAUGUAAGAUGUUGGGAACAUUAAAUUACAUUUGCUUGUUGUGAUCUGUGUGUCUGCUCUGUACCCCUAGUGGAAGGUCCACCAGAAUCUUGCCUUCUCCGUUCAUGAGCUGGCUGUGAUUCUUGGGGAUCAGUUGAUGGCAGCUGACCUGGUACCUGUCUUCAGUGGAUUUUAAAGGAUCUUGUGCACAGGAGUUCUUAAGCAUCUUUAUGAUUUUCUAAAGGCAGGAAGGAGGGUUAAAAACAAGCACCCUCUCUCCAGUCAGUCGUAUUAAGCCCUGGAUAUGUCUGGAAUCAGUGAAAGACAAAAAGAAAAAAAUUCACAGUGCAGUUGUCUGGGUUUCUUCUGUUGAAAUGCACCAUCCCAAAUCUUAAAGUGGAUGUUGUUUUAUCAAUGGGCAAUGCCUUAUCGUGUUUCCUCCCCAGCUCCUGUCCUUCAGGGCUGCAGUUCUGUGUAGGGUGUUAUGGACGCACAGCUGAGCACACUGGGUGCAGAAGAAGAAACCAGGCCCCUCGUGUGGCCUGACUUGCCCAGAGUCAGCUGGGGAGAGCCUGGGCCGAGGCCUGACCUCAGGUCGGCAUGAAGGGCUUUCUCUGCAGGAUAUUGCUGCUUCCCGUCUUGCUUUUGUCUUGUCUUCUUUUUCCUUUUUCUUUUUUGCUGUAAAGGAACGAUGAGUGUAAAAACAAGCGUUUAGAAAUGGCCUAGAGAAACUAAUUAGUUGCAUCCACUGACCCGGAGCUGCCCUUGAGGGGGUGCGCUCUCAGACUCCCCUUUGCUGGUGCUGAGCUGACUGCAGGAAGGCAGCAGCGGCACUGUCCGCUGCACACACCGAGGUGAUUGUUUAGGUGGGACAUGGCAGAAGGAAGAGACCCUGGGGCUUUUGGGAAUACACAGCAUAGGCGCCCACCAGGGGAAAGACUGGGAGUGUCCUGGGCGAACUGAUGUCAGUUGGCUGGGAUGCCAGCUCACACACACACCGGGCCAUAGAUGACAACUGAAAGGAGUUAGGGCAUGAGGGAAAGGCAGGGUUCUUCCAGUGCCAAACCUUAAUCUGAAACAAAAUAAGAGGGGGCACUUGGGGUUAUUUUGUGGGUUUAUAUGUUUUUAAUUACAUAUACAUUUUAAAAAAUAGUUUCUCCAUGAAGACAAGAGGAAAGAAUAUCUGUAUCAGUUUCAAGAAUUUGUAGUGACCAAUAUCAGCAGGAAUUGGAGGUUUUGACAUUAACUAGCAGAGUAAGUAGAAACCUGUUCAGGGCAAUGAGAAGGCAAAUCAGAAGAAGUAAGUCUUAAUUUUCCUACCUUAUAAUUGAUUUCUAAACCAGCAGUAAUAAUGUUCUUUUGGAUAAAGAGAUUAUGUUUUUAUUAAGGUAUAACCGAAUUCCAAAGCUCUAAGUAACAAAUACCACAGUCUCUGGGGAGACAUUCAUUUUCACACAGAGCCGGGGCUGCAGGCACCCUGGAAUUAGAGUGUUCUGCUGUUCUAUAAGGUAAUUUGUUUGAACCAAAUAAAAGAUGAAUUGCCCACUCUUCAAUAUUUCCCUAUUAAUCGGAGCAGGUUUUGCAAAGCUUUCUUGAGCAUUUUGAGUGCUGUCGGCUCUGCAGGGUACAGCAUGCUUUAUGUACUUCAGCUGCUAAAGAAAAUGGGGCGACAGCGAGAUCUGAAAAGGUCUAACACGGAUGAGAAGAUUAUUAAAUAAAAAUGUCCCCCAAGGUGGCUUAUAUCUGUGCAUCAUUUCGUGUGUGGAGGAGUUAUUCGAUUUCAUCUUGUGCCGGCAGUAGGAAUGUGCCAGGUUUUCGUGAUUAUGAAAGGGUGAUAGCAUCGUUUUAAGUAACUCCCCUUCCCGAGGUGUAUAAUGCGCUUUUCGUGAUGUGGAGAGGGUUUGUUUGUGUUGGCAGGGGUUUGGGUUUUAGUUCACGCCUUGUUGAGAUUCAUUUCGGUAUCUUUAGUUUUCAUUUUUCUUAUCCACAACUCGAAAUCUCUCCAGUCAUUGUCUUCCCCGAAGAAAUUCAUCAGGCUUUUGCAGCCAUUCAGGAUAUGAUCUGGCUGGUGCCAGGGGCGAGCUGGAAGAUUUUCUCUUUGCUGCGGGCUUUAAUCAUUAUGCUUAAUUUGAGAGAUUGAGGCUCAGUCAUUAUGCCCGCUCCCCGCGCGCUGUGCAGAACCUGAGGACGGCGGGCGGCUUCCACGGCGCCGCGUCGCCCUCUGGCGGCGGUGCGCGGCGGUGCGCGGCGGUGCGCGGCGCUGGCCGCCCGGCGUUAUCGCUCCGCAGCGCUGAUCUCCAUCUCCGCCGCGCUUAUUGCAGCCCGAGCUGCUGAUAAGGAUCCUGUGCUCCCGCGCCCGCGAUACGGUGUCAUUUUCCCCGGCACAGUGCUUUCCAUAUGAAAGUAGCACCUGCGCCCGUGGCUCGAGGCGCCGACCCCCCUCCCCGCCGCUUUUUCAUUUCCUUUGGCUGCCUGGUGAAAAUAAUGCGGUCGGUUCCGCAGCCGCCCGGGCCGCGGGGAGCCGCGGCGCGCUGCGCCCGCUCCGCUCCGCUCGGCCGCCGGCUGGUGGCCCCGGCCGGGUCUCCAGGCCGCGCCCCGCGCUCCCCGGCGGCCCGGGAGCCCGACCCGCUGUUCACGCUGUCGGAUGGUGCUGGUGUCCUGGGCCGCUCGAGCGGUACCGGCUGGACACUAGGUCCGCGGCCGUCGUUUCCCAGCCUCUGUGGUGCGAAGCUGCAUCUGCUUCUUUUUAGUUUGGUUUGUGCGCGUUGAUUUUUGCCUCCACGUUUCUUAGCUUAGCCAUUUCUCGCGGCCUUCUGCUGUUUGCAUUUUACUGACCGCGCUGGCGAGGUCUUGGUGCUGUUCGUUUCCCAGCCUGGCUGUUUUUAUGCACAAGAUUAAAUGAGCGUGAAGAAAAAUUAGUGAGGUGUUCCUUUGGACCAAAAGAAGUUUUUUUGUUGUUUGUUUUUUGUUUUUGUUUGUUGUUUUGUUUUUUUGCUUUUUGUUAUUUUGGUUUUGUUUUAAUUUCACACAGCUGAAGCUGAUUUUGGACCCCCGUAGCCCCUGUGGCGCCUGUGAUUACCUAAUGCACGUUGCCCUGAAGUUGUAUGCCGAGAGGUUUCUGAAGUUGGUGGCUCUCCUUCCAACGAGGGAGGAAACACGGCCUUUUCUGUUUGGGAGUAUUAAAAGCAUUUGUAUGCAAUGAAUCAAAAUGCAUUCUGCUGUCACGUAUAACUAAUUAGAACAAAUAAAAAAAUAAAUAAAAAGCAAUGCCAUUAAAAAUCAUCAAUUAAAAAAAAGCAGGAGUGUUUAUCUGCCAUUUUAACAUCUGUAUUUUUCAUGGGGUGAAUUUGUCAGUUUACCUAUAAAACCAGCUUUUAAAUUUUGAAAUUAGGAACUGUGUUAUAUAUACUUUUAUCAAUUUUUGGAGUAGCUUUUUUAAAAAUUAUGUGCCUCAGUGAUAGAAUUUGUGGAUAGAUCACUUUAUAUGUGAAACCCUUUAAAUAAUAGCUGCUGCUUUUUAUUUUUCUUCUUUUUCUUUUUCUUUCUUUUCUUUCUUUUUUUUUUUAACACUCUGGCAUGGUUUUGAGAGGUGCUCAGUGUGCAGACUGCAGUAUAGGAAAGCCGGUCCUGCUUCUCAUGGGCUUCGUACCAGCUGAAUACCGACUGAGAAAUCUCAUUUGAAAAUACUGAUUUUCUGAUGGCUCUAAAAUCUUAUGAAAAGUGACAUGUUCUAAGAGGUAACAAUGUAACUACAUUGUUAUGAUGUAGUUAUGAUGCAAGAAGAAAUGUUCUAAAAUUUAGACCCCCAAGCUUGCUAAUGCAUUUUUCAAAUGCCAUUCUCCUCUUCAUUUUUAAUGAAGGGUUUUUUAUAUGUGUGUCUAUAUGUUUAUUGCCAUAUAUUUAAACAUUUUUUUUUCUGUGUUCUAAUGAUUACUGUGACAAGACUGACUUUUUCUCUUGUGAAUCCGUGAGAAAGGUGGGAGGGUGACAGACGUCUGGUUUCUGUUUCAUGGUCAGAGACGGCACAAGGGCAGCAUUUCUCAUGAGCUCCUCCGUGUUUUCGCAGGCCGUGGUGAUUCUGCAUGCACUCUGGCCGCACAGUUCAGGGGCCUGGGGUUAGUCCCCCACCCCUGGGAGCUGGUGGGGGCUCCUGCACUGCUCUCAAUGGGUGGGGUAGGUGAGGCCCGGGGAGAUCCACCCCUGUACUGCUCUACAACCUGAUGACAUCCUUUCAGCACAGAACCCCAGCCCCCGAGCCCUAGUUGGGAGCUCCAGGACAUUCUGCCUGGACCCUUAUCCUGCAGUGACGGGAAGCACCAACCCAGGGUCACCUUCCAGUGAGCUCACCCACCUGUGGAUGGCCAGAGUCCCUACUGUGUGCCAGACAUCCUGUGGCUGCAGCAGGGAACAAGCUCUGACUCUCCCACUCUCUUCGUCUGGCCAGGUGAGGGCCAUGCCCACCACUGCACCUUACUGUAGCCAGUGGCUUUGGAAGGAGAGGGGGUGAAAGGCAGAGCAAGAGGUUAGAACAGAGCCUGUUUCACCUCUUCAGAUACUUGAAGUUCAUGUCAGUCUGUCAGGCUCCUAGGCCACGUGCUCUGCUGAGUAUUGGAAAUGGGGGCAUGUGUUUGGCUGGGGACAAUGGCAGUGAUGAGGGUUUAUUGCCAUUUAUUGAAUACUUCUUUAGUGCAAAGCAUCUCAUCACAUCAGAUUCUCUAAUAGAGCUACUGUGUACUGAGCAUGCUAGAGUCAAUUUGCCUUGGGACUCUUGUUUUAGAUAAUACAUUUCAAGCCCAGAGAGGUUAAGUAACUUACUCAAGAUCACACAGGAAGUGUAAACUCAUGAUUUUUGUUUUCUGCUGGUGUUAUUUUAAGCAUUGUAACUUUACUUCAUGUACCUUUUCAAGCAUAUACAAUGGUGUAAUUCAUCUCCUUGAGCCCAUUACCCAGCUGCACUGAUAGUACAGUGACGCACACCAUGGUUGGACCCUACCUGACCCCAGACCUCAAGUCUCCUUUCCUCCCUCAUAAUCAUCCCCAAUCAAAGGACUCAUGAACGCCCCCUGUAGGGCUGGAAGGGAAUUGUGGGGUACUGGGCUAUUUGCUUUGAAAAAUGCCAACUCCCAAACUGCAGAAGCAUAAAUAAUUUUGCUUUUGCUUUUUAAUUCUCUAUCUGGAUUUAGAAAAUGAGUGAGAAACAAAAGGACAUCACACCAACCAGUUUUGUUCAAGAAAAAUCAAUGAGAUUUGUUGUUGUUCUAACUAAUUAAUUAUUCAGGUUUUAGAGCACCCACAAAAGCACAACCCAAAAGGCUCACUAUAAGGUCACUUGCUACCUACAUUGCCUUUGGUAAGUGGCAGGAGGCAGUGGGUACCCUGCAGCCAGUUGUCCCUCUGGGAGUCUUGAGAGGACUGUUCAGCACAGCUCUUGGGAAGUGUCACUAGGGAGUUGGGAGGGUUACUUGGAGCAAGACCAUCUGGUUGAAGCCCAGGUCUACAACUUUGCGCCAGUGGCCUGGGGCAGAGCAGCCUCACUGUGUCCCACAUGCCUGCUGCUGAAGGGCUCAGAGGGCUAGCGCUGCUCAGCUGGGCGGGACAGUGCCUGGCACCUGUCUGCUAGCUGUGGCUCCAGUGCCACCCACCAGGGUCCAGAUGCCCUGCAGCAGGAAGAUCUCAGGGCCUACCUGGCGUGUUCCCACCCAGCUGUCAUGAGACCUCCAGAUGUCACCACCAGAUUGGACCAGAAUUCUCUUACUCUAAUACUAGCCUAAUUUUGCUCUCCUAGGGGAGUCCUGAGGAUUAAAUGAGGGGAUAUACAUACAGCUGGCCGGGGAAGGAGUGCGCAGGAGCUGGAGACGCUGGAGGAGCCUGCUGCGCAGAGAGCCACACCCUGCAUCAGAGCCUGUGCCCUGGUGGAUAGCAGAGGUGGGGUUCGAACCCUUCGUGGCCAGCUACAUGCAGUGCGGCAGCAGCCUGCUCCAUGCUUUGUGCAAAGGACCGCACGGUUGAGGACAGUGAGGCUUGGAAAAGUUAAGCCAUAAACCCAGGCCAUGUCGCUGGUCAGUGGCUGAAUGAGGCUGAAAUAUUAAUGGUAUUUCUAACCACAUUUAGUGCUGGUAUUUUGAAGCUCACACGCGCACACACGUAUACCUUAAACCUACAGAUUCUGAAUUCUUUGGCACUACACGAGUUUGUGUUUUUAGAAGACAGUUGGACAAGUCGCUCCUUUGGCUUCCCUGCUUGUUGCCACAGGCAGUGGUGCAGGAGGACCAGCUUGCAGAGCCCCUGCAUCCCAGCCUCGGGGCCUCGCUUAGGAUCCCUCACUGCUGGCCAGAGCUCCGCGGUGGACACUGCUGGACAAGGGUGCGCCCUGCGCUUUUCCAAACUUACACACUUCAAUAAACCAUCAGUUGUUAAAGGGGGAAACUGGACUUCCUCUAGGAAAUGAUGGCAAGUCGUGUGACAACACAGUUCCGAAGUAGUAGGUGAAUUAAUAGACCAACUUUUGUGCCUAACAGUUAUUAUUUAUAAAACAGCUAAGGAAAUAAAUGCAAUUAGUCUUUAUGUUUGAUGAACAUAUGCUAAAGUACAAAAUAUCACGUGGUCUUCUAGAAAGGAGGGACACUUGUAAAUUUUGAGGCAUGAUGUAAAAGUUAGUGACUUAUGCUAUGACUUCUGUUCCACUGCAGCGGAGGUGUGUGUUUACUAAGAAGACACUCCUACGCCAGCCUGGUUGGUUAUUUUAAACCUGAGCAAGACUAAGUUAAUAAAAUCUGUGUGUUCUUUGAAUGGUUUAUUUCUACACCCCAAUAUAGGGAGAGGUUAUAUCCUUCCCUCUACCUGUACCUCUGUCCCACCCACGAGCAACUGCCCUCCUCCUGUCUUCCACCUGGUGCCAGUUCUUUUGUAUUUCAGGGAAAACAAGUAAUAUUAUUUUUUUUUACUUACUAUAAUUUUUUAAAUAUGCAAAACUAUUGGGAGUCCAUCUUUAAAAGUUAGAUACUUACUAAUGAAGGCAUUUUGUCAUUUGAAAGGACGUCCGUAUGACUAUUCUAUUAAAAUGACUUGUUAUCCUGAUGUGGUUUAACAACAGCAGCAGCAACUAGAGGAUGUGUUAAGACACAGUUCAUGGCACAUGUGAUACGAACUUGUGAUUUCUCUCCUCAGGGUAUUUUAGAAAUGCAAGUAACCCUCAUCUUGAAGUUGCUGGAGAGACCAUCUUGGCUUUGCAAUCUGACCAGGACCAAGAUGUUUCCUUUUUGCCACCCUAGAACCAAGCGACAGAGUCUUCUGGACCCUACUGCACUAGGAAAACAGGAUGGACUCCUCUGGGAAGGUUGUUUCAUGCCUGGCACCUUUGGCUUGUGACCUGAAGGGGAACUGAUUGUAUUUUAUCUGCUGAAGAAGAAAAGAUUUCUGAAACUUCCACAUUGUGCACCCAAAUGACAGACCCCUUUCCUGUCUGAGGCUCCCAGACUGAAUCUUGGUGGGGACUUAAGUGCAGAUGGCUAGGCCUGUGCCACAUUCCCCAGCCCCACAGGCCUGACCCAGGACACCUUGUGGACAGGGUGCAGGCCUGCCAGCAACUUGUUUUGUUCAAGACAGACUAUAUUCGAGUCUCCCCUCCCGAUCGCUUAUUAGAAGCUCUGAAAUCUUUACUGGACUUGCAUAUUUGUUUCCCUUUUGCUUUUAUAUAAAAUAUAGUUUAUGGUGCUAUAUUUAUUUUUAACUGAGAUACUGUACAUAUGUAAAUAUCUUUUUUUAUUUUUAGAUAAGAUCUCACUAAGUUGCUCAAGCUGGCCUUGAACUUGGGAUCCAUCUACCUCAGCCUCCCAAGCAGCUGGGAUUACAGGCGUGCACCGCCAUGCCCAGCUUGUAAAUAGCUCUUGACAGGAAGAAAAUAUAUGAAUGUAAUAUUAGCUUCCUAUCAGUGAACUGAACAAAUAUAUCAUUGAAAUUUAUGCUGCAAUCCGAGUUGCUGCAAACAUAGCCCAGUUUGUUUACUUUUGAAAAAUGUGACAAAGCUACUAAGAAUGAUUUAUGGCAGGCUUUCUACUACUGUGGUUGGGACUUCUUAAGCACUCACCCUCUGCUUCUUUCCGGAACUCUCCUCACAAAGAUGGCGUUGGUGUAAAGCUGAAGGAUUUUUCAUUUUCGUACAGAUAUAUUGUCGAUGUUUAAGAACUUGAGAGGGAAGUAGAUAACUGAGAUGCAUGGAUAUCAACUUUCAUGCUUUAGAAUACUAAAAGAUAGGAAACCAUAGUUCUGAUCAGAACUUGCCCACAAAUACCAGUGAUUCUGGGGGGUUAAAUCAUGUACUCUUCAAAUUGAUGUAAGUACACCGAACUUAGAUUUCAUGCUUUUAAAAUUUAGACUCAAAUGCUUUAGAAUUUAACAGUUUUUUCAUUAGUUAAUAAUUCAAGAUUCUGUAAACAUUUGAUUAAAUUCUGC